UUACGGAUUGCGUCGAUUGUAGCCAAGGAUAUCUGUGGAAAGCUGGUGCCGAAAGCUAGGAGGGCGAUGUCCGCAAUCGUGUAGUUCCACACCUUCUCUUGCUUGACAACGGGGGCGUUCGUGUGCGGGUCUACGCUGACCACCUCCCGGGAGUGCUUCAUGAUCUGCUCCAUGGAUUUGAAGAACCGAGCGGUGAUCGCGGACAGGCCGAUGAAGCAGUAUGCAAGCGCAACGGUGUAGAGGGAGGCGCGGACGCCGCCGGAGAGCAGGGUCUCGCCAUGGAACAGCAGGUAGGUGCCCUCACAUGCAGAUGAUGGGCCUGACAUCAGGAAGACCGAUGCAGCCCCAAGACCGGAGCUUGAGAAAAUAUUCUCCUAGCUAGCUGCUACUCCCUGCUGCAACACAAACAAAAGGCAAAAUUGCCAAGAAAAUUGCGAACUGAUGAGCAUGAGCAGUACAAGUGGCAUAAGGGUCAUGGGGAAAUCUGCAGAUUCAGAGGACUGAAGGACAUUGGGGUGUCAGGAGGGAGGAACGCACCAGUGGUUGAAUCGACGACCGGAUCCCCCACGAACCACGGCGGCGCACGCAACCAGGCCGCCGGCGUGCGUGGUUGCCUUUCGUUUCCUCCGCGCGGCGGCGCCGCCGCCCCCGCUGCUCUGCUCUCCUCUCCUCUCCGCCCCGCCGCACAGACUCUGCUGCGGAUUGGGGAGGAAAACCCAAAGGGGUGGGGGAAGGAAUUGAGGAGGAGCUCGCCCAAGACUGCGGAUCGAGGCCGUGACCGAAUCGGUUGGCAACCGGGGGGAGAAAAAAAUUGCAUUUUUAUACACACGGCAGAGAUCCUCCCUCCCUCCCUCCCCCACGUCCUCCAUGGGGGCGCGGAAAAGAAACCCACCCGCCAACGAAACAGCAGGCCCCACAUGAGCCAUCGCAGCCACGCGUUGAACGACAGCUCAGCGUGUGACGCGCGAGCAGGGUACAGCCACACACACACAGUGAUUGCAGCAGCCACGCAUUGAGGAGGAAGGAGGAGGAUGCAUGGCGCCGGUCAGUCCGCGCACAGUACCUGUCGAGGUCAGCCGACCGCCAUCUGAAUUUUACGUCCACAUGUUCCACGUGUACGUUUAUUUUAUUUAUUUUAUUUAUUUAUUUAUUACUAAUGGGCUAGAAAUACGCUUUGUUUCGAAGGAAAAAAAAGAAUAGGAAUACACUGGACUAGUUACAUGGCAGCUACUCCUACCAAGCAUUCUCAUUCUGAACUAGUAGCAGCUACGUGGCUCAUUUUAGUACGCAAUGCAAGUCGUUCUUAUCUGCGGCUCGAAAUUGAAUGUAUGCUCCCAGCAGGAAGUAUCCCAACCGUCCAUUUUUCCUCUGUAGAUCGGCGCCGCACUCUCUCUAUGAUUGGCUCCACCGACGGUUGGUUUGGUCGCCGUGGCCGGAGGAAUCGGCGGCAGUCAACUCGGCGCCGAGAAGGUCGGAUCUUGGAUCUGCAGCGUGGCAGGCGCGUGACGGCGGCCGCAGCAGCGCCUCCCGCGCGAGACCGACCGAACAAAGAACAGCCACUGCAGCACCUGUGUUCGACAGAGGAGGCUGAUCGACUGCCCCCUUGCUUGUUUGCGUCGCCGGGAAGGUCGGAUCUGGAUCUGCAGUUUAGUUCAGUCUUGAUUCAGUUGAAUGCUCACGUCUAUUUCUACGCUUUUGUUUGCAAUCCAUGUUUACCCAUUUGCUUGCAAUGUAUGGAUUCAGUCAGCGACUUUACAAGCAUGGAUCCAGCCAGUUGUUUUGCAAUAUGGAUUCCUCAGUCAGAUCAAUUAACUCACAUCGCUCCAGCUUGUUAAGUAGGUUGUUUUUUUUUCAGUAUGCUAGGGUAGGUUUCAUAAUUGUAUCCCUUGCUUUUUACUUAAUCAUCAUGGAAUUUAGUGUCGUGAUGGAGGAUGCGACCAGAAAAGGGUGAAUGGGAACGUUUAAAAUUCUCUCCAAGAAGGUCUAUAUCCCCAUUACCACCCCCAUCACACCUCGUUUAUAAUCGCCAAGAUGACACACGUCAACUCGUGAUAAAUUCAUCCUAGGAAUGACAAAACGCAGUGGAAGCAAACGGAAAAUGAGACUCUAAAAAGCUUGCACAAGAGAUUAAGCAAAGCUACUACUAAACGAUUAAUUAACUAACCAAAGAUUAGUAGCAGCAAGCACUAGAGUUUGUAAAGAUACAGAACUCGAAUGCAUCAUUAUUCACUUAGAGAGGCAAGUACAGUACAAGCUUGUACAAGAUUAACAAAUUAACAAUUGCUAUGCAACAUUGAUCCCUGUAGCAGGAAAGUGACAGUUCAUGGAAAAUGAUUCUUCUCUGAAUUUAAAUAGACAAAAGCCUCGCUGCUUCUCUGCUUACCUGCUCAGAAGUGCCGAGCUUGAGCUGCAGGAGACCGUUGGAAUGAGCUGCGCUGCUUGGGCCGCUGCUGGCUCCGCAGGCCGCGUCAACGAGACGCUGGACCGGCAGCUGGCGUGCAGCGAGCUGGGCCUGCCGAGCGAGCCGGGCCGCCUCCCAGCCUGGUGCGUCGCUGGCCUGGACCAAAGAAGCCGCACGCCUGGGCAGCUGGGCUGCUAGUGCUGCAGCUGCCUGCGUGCAAGGCACGUGCCGGCAGGGUCGCAGCCACCCGCGUGCCAGGCGCGUGACGGCCGCAGCAGCGCCUCGCUGCUUACCCCGCGCGAGAUUGUCAACUGCCCCCUUUGCCUGCGCAAGAACAGAGGAAGGGAAACAAGAGCGCGAAGAACACGUCCAACUUCAACCCAAAAAUACUCCCUCGAUACUACGCGGAUUCAAACGAAACUUGAGUCAGCGUGAGCAGAUCCAAAGAAAAAUAUCUCGAAAAGCUCAAAUAUUCAUCACGGAUUUUAAACAAAACCGAAUGCCCCUUCACAAACCUCAAUUUGUAGAAAACUUCAAAUUCACGCCGAAUCUGUGAGGGAUUUGAGUAGGCAUCGUAUCAAAGUUGCUCAACAAGUAUUCUAGCAACAAAAGCCUCCAACGAAUCUUACCGGAUUCGCAGCCAAAUAGAAGAGCGAAAAAUCCCAAAAAUACCUUCAGGAAAACACAGAAAUUUAGGAAUCUCAGAUCUUGAGAGGAUGGAACAACUGAACAUGAAUUUGAUCUUUGAAUUACUCCACCAUAUUCGGUUACAAACCACUCCUAACCUACUCAGAGCGUUAGAUGGCAAAAAGAUCACAUCAAAGAUCCGUCAUCUCUCUUGCUCUCUCACCUACCAAACCCAAUAACCACUCCUCAUAUAUAUAUAUAUAUAUAUAUAUAUAUAUAUACAUAUAUAUAUAUAUAUAUAUAUAUUUGUGUGUAUGUGUGUGUGUGUGUGUGUGUGUGUGUGUGUGUGUGUGUGUGUUGCAUUUGGCAAAUGUUAAAAUACUACUCCCUCCGUUCCAAAUUAUAAGUCAUUCCAACUUUCUUGGAGAGUCAAACCAUUUUAUGUUUGACCAAAAUUAUAGAGAAAAUCACAAAAGUUUAUGGCACCGAAUAGAUAUACUAUGAAAAUAUAUUUAACGAAGAAACUAAUGGUACCUAUUUGAUAUCAUGAAUGUUAGCACUUUAUUGUAAAAAUUUGGUCAAACUUGAGAUGCUUUAACUCUCCAAGAAAGUUGGAAUGACUUAUAAUUUGGAACGGAGGGAGUAUUACAUAAAACAUACAACACAAAUACUUCAUAUGGGUAAAACCGUCUAACUUUUUGUCGGUACAUCGAACGGACCUAACGCCUUCACGACUUCGCUUCACCUCGACGCAACAUUCGUGAUGGUGCCACCCAUCCUUCAACUUGACGCCGUCCGGUCGGCCAGGCUUGCCCCCCGGUUUUGAGGUCAAACCGGUCAAACCCUCUUGCACACCCCGCAAGGCGUGACUCACCAAUGUCGGUGUGUGUCCGGCCUCCGCCAAGCCUUUGAUGCCUCCAAGUCUUUCGCUCCCGCUCCCAGGCCACCUACUCGACUUGCCUCCAUCGCGCUUGACUCGGCCGAUGCCUUCUCCAUCCCGUCCAUAUACUCUUGCUCUUCCGUGCAACAUGUGGAUCGCUCAUGACUCCAUUCGGAUUCCUCACGUCCCUUGAUUCAAACCUACUCGUGUUCACCCUUCAUAGCCUUAGUACAUUCACAGCCCUAGUACAUCGGCAUGAACUUUUCGCUUGACCUUUACCUUAUAAUAAAAAAAAUUAAAGGUUAGAUAUGCGCUUUUGGAAACUGUGUCAAUGUCCAAAACAUUGCCUAUUUGAAACCGGAGGCAGUAUAAAUAUGGCAUACCUCUAAGAUAACAUACAGCCAAAUGUAUGCCCAGAAAGACCAGAACAGCUCAACUAGCCAAACGCCCAAGUCUGUGAUCUUUUUCUUAGAGCCCGCCUUUGGCAUAACCACACAGACAGCAUGGAUUGGGAACAUAUCAAAUGCAGCAGAACCCACGAGAGUGCCCGGACCUAGAUCAGCUGGCCAAGAUUACGGAUUGCGUCGAUUGUAGCCAAGGAUAUCUGUGGAAAGCUGGUGCCGAAGGCAAGGAGGGCAAUGUCCGCUAUCGUGUAGUUCCACACCUUCUCUUGCUUGACAACAGGGGCGUUCGUGUGCGGGUCUAUGGUGACCACCUCCCGGGAGUGUUUCAUGAUCUGCUCCAUGGAUUCGAAGAACCGAGCAGUGAUCGCGGAUAGCCCAAUGAAGCAGUAUGCAAGAGCAACGGUGUAGAGGGAGGCGCGGACGCCACUGGAGAGCAGGGUCUCGCCAUGGAACAGCAGGUAGGUGCCCUCACAUGCGGAUGGAGGAUCGGCACUGCCCAUCACAGUGCCUGACAUCAGGAAGACUGAUGCAGCCCCAAGAGUAGAGCUUGAGAAAAUAUUCCUAGCUAGCUGCUAGUCCCUGUUGCAACACAAAAGGCAAAAUUGCCAAGAAAACUGUGAACUGAUGAGCAGUACAAGUGGCAUAGAGGUCAUGGGGAAAUCUGCAGAUUCUCAGUGGAAGGACAUUGGGGGGGGGGGGGGGGGGGGGGGG
Molecule: long non-coding RNA, 5023 nt
Filed under: Setaria italica (foxtail millet)
Lineage: Eukaryota; Viridiplantae; Streptophyta; Magnoliopsida; Poales; Poaceae
Description: long non-coding RNA (SITA_LNC006257)
Source: RNAcentral